This 311-nucleotide ribosomal RNA is filed under the name uncultured Enterobacteriaceae bacterium. RNAcentral describes it as "bacterial SSU rRNA". It matches the Rfam family "Bacterial small subunit ribosomal RNA", at positions 1070 to 1382 of the family's 1533-position model. Lineage: Bacteria; Pseudomonadati; Pseudomonadota; Gammaproteobacteria; Enterobacterales; Enterobacteriaceae. The record is from RNAcentral.
AAAUGUUGGUUAGUCCCGCAACGAGCGCAACCCUUAUCCUUUGUUGCCAGCGAGUAAUGUCGGGAACUCAAAGGAGACUGCCGGUGAUAAACCGGAGGAAGGUGGGGAUGACGUCAAGUCAUCAUGGCCCUUACGAGUAGGGCUACACACGUGCUACAAUGGCAUAUACAAAGAGAAGCGAACUCGCGAGAGCAAGCGGACCUCAUAAAGUAUGUCGUAGUCCGGAUUGGAGUCUGCAACUCGACUCCAUGAAGUCGGAAUCGCUAGUAAUCGUAGAUCAGAAUGCUACGGUGAAUACGUUCCCGGGCCUU